UCAGCAUUUUUAAAAUAAGCUGUUCUAAAUGAAACUUUUCAUUUCCAGCUUUCUUUCACCAUUGUAAGUUACUCCUCUCUGUCAUGUGCUAUCUGCCUGCACUUUUGCAAAUAGGUCUUUUUGGAUUGGUCCUGGACUCAGGCUCUCUCCCCCAAAGCAUGCAGUGGAUAGCUUGUUGAUCACAGCUGUUUAUUUUUUAUGUUGGGGCUUCCUUCUUUAGUUCCAGCUCCAUGAAUCAGGAGCUCAAGAAGGAGGGUUGUUAAUAGGCUGUUGGAGCAGGAUUGGAGCCAAGUAGUGAGGUUCAAACUACAGGGGUAAACAUGGAAAUUCAUUCAUUCAUGCAUUCUUUCAUUCACGGUUUAUUGAGAAUUACUGAGGUGAGGGACAGGUUUAGUGUGGUUUUCCUAUCUGUUCUUGCUUUUGUUUUAAUCUUUCUCCCCUCAAAUUCUCUACAGAGUUUAAGAUUUCUUCACAACAGCUGCUUCUCUACAGGGGUAACAGCUAGACCUCUGGUAGUGUUAGAAGGAGACAACCCAGGACAGCAGCAGCUGGUUUUAUUUUUGGUUUUCGUCAGGUGUUGAUUGGUGAAUUUACCUGAGAAGUUGAGACUCAAGAUUGUGAAAACGUGUGACUAGGACCGAAAGCAGAUUUUCAGGUAGGAAAUCAAGAUUGUUCUCUUUAAUUCCUUUGCACUGGUUUUUGCAGCAGUCAAAUCAGCAUUUUCAUAGGAAACACAAUAUCCAAAAGCAAAGGACUGUGUAGAUUCUGAGUUUGUACUAGGAAAAACCUGUAUGUUCCUUUUUAAAGAAUUCUUUUCUCUACUUUCCAAAUAGUUAUAGCUGAGCUUUGAAAUGAGAUCCAAGAGGAACUUGAAGAAGUAUAUCUAUAUUUGCAAAAGUCUUCUAGAUUUGAUUUUGAUUCUGGAAGCCUAUUUGAAAUGUAAUUAUCAGAGUAUAAAUAAAUUUAAAUUUAUUAUGCCA
This 980-nucleotide long non-coding RNA is filed under the name Castor canadensis (American beaver). RNAcentral's name for it is "lncRNA (ENSCCNG00000028245.1)". Lineage: Eukaryota; Metazoa; Chordata; Mammalia; Rodentia; Castoridae. The record is from RNAcentral.